GUGGGGAAUAUUGGGCAAUGGGCGCAAGCCUGACCCAGCGACGCCGCGUGGGUGAUGAAGGCCUUCGGGUCGUAAAGCCCUGUCGGGUGGAAAGAACGGUGGAAAGGCAAAUAGCCUUUCCACGUGACGGUACCACCGAAGGAAGCACCGGCCAAUUCCGUGCCAGCAGCCGCGGUAAGACGGAAGGUGCAAGCGUUGCUCGGAAUCACUGGGCGUAAAGGGUGCGUAGGCGGCUUGGUGGGUCUGGUGUGAAAGCCCCGGGCUUAGCCCGGGAAGGGCACUAGAAACUGCCAAGCUUGAGUGCCGGAGGGGAGAGUGGAAUUCCUGGUGUAGCGGUGAAAUGCGUAGAUAUCAGGAGGAAUACCGGUGGCGAAAGCGACUCUCUGGACGGCAACUGACGCUGAGGCACGAAAGCGUGGGGAGCAAACAGGAUUAGAAACCCGAGUAGUCC
RNAcentral lists this ribosomal RNA (451 nucleotides) under uncultured bacterium. Its description in RNAcentral is "bacterial SSU rRNA". It matches the Rfam family "Bacterial small subunit ribosomal RNA", at positions 354 to 796 of the family's 1533-position model. The record is from RNAcentral.